AGCUUUGUGCAGUGGCAGAAUCGUAGCCAAUGAGGUUUAUCCGAGGCACAAUUAUUGCUAAUUGAAAAUCAAUAUCAUAUGUUCAAAAUGUAACCAUAUCAACUAUAUAUUGGUUUCUAGUUUUCAUUAUGAAUUACUGCUUUAAAUACAGU
This 152-nucleotide small nuclear RNA is filed under the name Suricata suricatta (meerkat). RNAcentral's name for it is "U4 spliceosomal RNA (ENSSSUG00005000752.1)". It matches the Rfam family "U4 spliceosomal RNA". From Rfam's summary of the family: U4 small nuclear RNA (U4 snRNA) is a component of the major U2-dependent spliceosome. The structure of U4 snRNA from yeast and human has been reported. Lineage: Eukaryota; Metazoa; Chordata; Mammalia; Carnivora; Herpestidae. The record is from Rfam by way of RNAcentral.